Molecule: ribosomal RNA, 468 nt
Filed under: uncultured bacterium
Lineage: Bacteria
Description: partial 16S ribosomal RNA
Rfam family: Bacterial small subunit ribosomal RNA (bases 58-468)
Source: RNAcentral
GGGGGGGGGGGGGGGGGGGGGGGGCGCGGGCGGGGCGGGCGGGGGGGCCCGGGGUGGGUGGGGUGCGCGGGUGGCGCCCGGGUGGGGAGCACGUGGGUAACCUGCCCUUGGCUGUGGGGUAACUUCAGGAAACUGGGGCUAAUACCGGCUCGGAGCUCCUGCUGCCUGGUGGGGGUUGGCACGUUUCGGCGGUUGGGGAUGGCCUCGCGGCUUGUCCGCCUGUUGGUGGGGUGGUGGCUUACCAAGGCCUUGACGGGUAGCCGGCCUGAGAGGGUGACCGGCCACAUUGGGACGGAGAUACGGCCCAGACUCCUACGGGAGGCAGCAGGGGGGAAUAUUGCACAAGGGGCGGAAGCCUGAUGCAGCAACGCCGCGGGCGGGAUGACGGCCUUCGGGGUGUAAACCGCUUUCGCCUGUGACGAAGCGUGAGGGACGGUAAUGGGUAAAGAAGCACCGGCUAACUACGUG